UAGCCCUGUAGUUGGGUGAAUAUUGGUGGGAUGAAUUAUGCAUUAAAAAACGCCGCAACAAUUGCAGCAUGCAGUUGGGUCUUCAUGUGCAGAUGGGUGUCUCUACACUCUCAGCCAGCUUCCUAGAAUUGGUUUCCUCCCUGUCACCAGCAAAUUUUCUUUUAAAAAAAUAUAAACACACUUACACACACAGCAGUGCUGGAGACAUUUGGGGGAACGCCAUGCCGCCUCGCUUCGAUGUUUCCUGCAUCCCUUGCACAAGCAGAAAGCACAAAACGAUGCACGCAGCACAAUCGGUUGGGAGAUCACAGACUCCAGCGUCCUCGUUUUCUCCGCCCUUCUUCGUUACCUACUUGACCGAUAUUGCAGGUAGUGGUGGUGGGAGCAUGAGAGCCGAGCCUGGGCUGUGCCCAGAGUGUGACGUUCGUUUGCCAUUUUUGGUACUGUGGGUGCAUUCUGUUUUGGUAUGUGGGUCAUGUUGGAUUGCAUCGUGAGGGGCUCAAUGAGAGGGUUUUUAAAGAGGGACUGUAAUGGAAGCUCAGAGUUUCAAACUGUGGUAGUGGGAGGGGAGUCCUUGGGGUCAGUUUGGAGGAUGGAUGCAUGUUUUGCGUGGUUUUGUGGGAGCAGGGUUAGUGGUGGAAUUCAGGCAAGCAGCAGGAGUUGAAGGAAAGAAAGCCAUCGCGGGCGAGAUCUCGUUCCGUCUGCUCUGAGCGCACAUGAUCAGAAAGCAUAGUCUGUUAUCCCGGGAAAUGGCGAUGUAGCUAGGAUGAUGAAGAAAUCCAUCUGUCGUUGCUUUAACUUAGCCAUGACCUAAAGGCAGUGGAGGACCUACUACGUCUAUGUGUCUGGAAUUGGGUCAACAAGGACUUUUGUUUUGGAGGUUUUGAGCACGCCUCGAUUUCAUAGUGCAAUCCCCGAAGCGAUCUAGUGGCAGUGUUACUUUUGUGGAUAUGAUGUCAGAGUGAUCAGAAUGGUGCACAACAGGCAAGAGCUAGCACCUGAGGGUAGGAAUCACUCGUACGUGCCGCUGUACCGGUCUGGAGGAUGGAGUGACCGUGGCAUCAGGCAAACUUUGGAAGACGCUCUUAUCUGCAUAGACGAUCUCAAUGAUCAGCUGCAGUCUCGGGGUGCAUUCUAUGGGGUGGGACACCUGAAGGUUGGCCCUAGUCCCAAAUUCGGGAUCCUAUUUUCAAGAGGACAGUGGUUCGUAAAUAUUGACUCGAAGGAAACGGGGAAUUUCAGGAACUUGCUGGUGGCGAAUGCAGGCGACUGUCGGGCAGUCUUGUGUCGUAGGGGCAAAACGAUACAAUUGUUCAGCGAUCAUACCCCAAUUCUGAUGGCGAAAAGAUGCGCAUCGAAUUAGCAGGGGGGACUGUAACUAGCGAUGGAUAUGUUAACGGGCAGGUGACAGUCGCUCGCGCCAUUGGAGAUUGGCACAUGCCAGGCGUGAAGGGCUUCAAUGACACUUGGCCUGUAAUUGCAGAGCCCGAAAUCCGGAGUUUAGAACUCUCUGAAGUCGAUGAGUUCUUACUUCUGGGAUGUGAUGGCUUGUGGGAUGUGUUUACUAGCAGUGCUGCUGUUGAUUUUGCGCGUAGGCAGUUGCGGGAGCACAAUUACCCAGAGCGAUGCUCUAAAGCACUGAUAGAGGAGGCAUUGAAGCGAAAUGCCCAAGAUAAUAUCACAGUAAUCACACUUUGUUUCCAAGCAGAGGCCCCACCAGACGUUACCGUUGUAGAGAGGUCAACCAUAAGAAAGUUAAUCUUGAAAGUAAUCGUUGCAACAGGACCUUGACAUUGCCGAAGCUUCGAACGUAUAUCGCCGAAUUGAUUGAUCCUGGCAGGCAUCCCUAGUAUUGUUCCGGUGUGCUGUCUGAUUCUUUAAGGCUUAACUUUCGUUGAUGAAGAGAUGAACUGGAUGUUUCAACGAAGUCAGGUGGACCUCUCAGCAAGCAGGAGUUUGUCAAGAAUAACGAGGAUAUAUUGUAGAGGUGAAGUGCUACACAUUGUAGAUGGCCAAUCAGCUCUAGAUCAGAACUUUGGUGUUGCGUCAAUGUAUAUGAAAAUGUUUAAAUUCUAAGCACUCAUUGAGAAACAUUUGCGUGCCCUGCCUAGGAAUGAUACUGGCUGGUACAAUUACAACUUUGGAGGUGAAUUCUACCUCCUGUUUAAGUCAGGAGAGACUUGCUUCAGCA
Physcomitrium patens is the source of this 2191-nucleotide non-coding RNA. NCBI's taxonomy places the organism in Eukaryota, Viridiplantae, Streptophyta, Bryopsida, Funariales, Funariaceae. The record is from RefSeq and is a predicted model, not a curated record.